This 447-nucleotide ribosomal RNA is filed under the name uncultured bacterium. RNAcentral's name for it is "bacterial SSU rRNA". It matches the Rfam family "Bacterial small subunit ribosomal RNA", at positions 331 to 792 of the family's 1533-position model. The record is from RNAcentral.
CCAGACUCCUACGGGAGGCAGCAGUGGGGAAUAUUGCACAAUGGGCGAAAGCCUGAUGCAGCAACGCCGCGUGAAGGAAGAAGGGUUUCGGCUCGUAAACUUCUAUCAACAGGGACGAAAGAAGUGACGGUACCUGACUAAGAAGCCCCGGCUAACUACGUGCCAGCAGCCGCGGUAAUACGUAGGGGGCAAGCGUUAUCCGGAUUUACUGGGUGUAAAGGGAGCGUAGACGGCUGUGCAAGCCAGAUGUGAAAGCCCGGGGCUCAACCCCGGGACUGCAUUUGGAACUGUGUGGCUGGAGUGUCGGAGAGGCAGGCGGAAUUCCUAGUGUAGCGGUGAAAUGCGUAGAUAUUAGGAGGAACACCAGUGGCGAAGGCGGCCUGCUGGACGAUGACUGACGUUGAGGCUCGAAAGCGUGGGGAGCAAACAGGAUUAGAUACCCGCGUA